Molecule: ribosomal RNA, 491 nt
Filed under: Porphyromonas gulae
Lineage: Bacteria; Pseudomonadati; Bacteroidota; Bacteroidia; Bacteroidales; Porphyromonadaceae
Description: bacterial SSU rRNA
Rfam family: Bacterial small subunit ribosomal RNA
Source: RNAcentral
GAGUUUGAUCAUGGCUCAGGAUGAACGCUAGCGAUAGGCUUAACACAUGCAAGUCGAGGGGCAGCAUGAACUUAGCUUGCUAAGUUUGAUGGCGACCGGCGCACGGGUGCGUAACGCGUAUGCAACUUGCCUUACAGAGGGGGAUAACCCGUUGAAAGACGGACUAAUACCGCAUACACUUGCUUGGUUGCAUGAUCGGGCAAGGAAAUAUUUAUAGCUGUAAGAUAGGCAUGCGUCCCAUUAGCUGGUUGGUGAGGUAACGGCUCACCAAGGCAACGAUGGGUAGGGGAACUGAGAGGUUUAUCCCCCACACUGGUACUGAGACACGGACCAGACUCCUACGGGAGGCAGCAGUGAGGAAUAUUGGUCAAUGGGCGAGAGCCUGAACCAGCCAAGUCGCGUGAAGGAAGACUGUCCUAAGGAUUGUAAACUUCUUUUAUACGGGAAUAACGGGCGAUACGUGUAUUGCUGUGAAUGACCGAAGAAUAAGC